This 661-nucleotide ribosomal RNA is filed under the name uncultured bacterium. RNAcentral describes it as "bacterial SSU rRNA". It matches the Rfam family "Bacterial small subunit ribosomal RNA", at positions 737 to 1397 of the family's 1533-position model. The record is from RNAcentral.
ACACUGACACUGAGGUGCGAAAGCGUGGGUAGCAAACAGGAUUAGAUACCCUGGUAGUCCACGCCGUAAACGAUGUCGACCAGCCGUUGGGUGCCUAGCGCACUUUGUGGCGAAGUUAACGCGAUAAGUCGACCGCCUGGGGAGUACGGCCGCAAGGUUAAAACUCAAAUGAAUUGACGGGGGCCCGCACAAGCGGUGGAGCAUGUGGUUUAAUUCGAUGCAACGCGAAGAACCUUACCUACUCUUGACAUCCUGCGAACUUGUGAGAGAUCACUUGGUGCCUUCGGGAGCGCAGAGACAGGUGCUGCAUGGCUGUCGUCAGCUCGUGUUGUGAAAUGUUGGGUUAAGUCCCGUAACGAGCGCAACCCUUGUCCUUAUUUGCCAGCGGGUAAUGCCGGGAACUCUAAGGAGACUGCCGGUGACAAACCGGAGGAAGGUGGGGACGACGUCAAGUCAUCAUGGCCCUUACGAGUAGGGCUACACACGUGCUACAAUGGCCGGUACAAAGGGUUGCGAGCUCGCGAGAGUCAGCUAAUCCCGAAAAGCCGGUCUCAGUCCGGAUCGGAGUCUGCAACUCGACUCCGUGAAGUCGGAAUCGCUAGUAAUCGUGAAUCAGAAUGUCACGGUGAAUACGUUCCCGGGCCUUGUACACACCGCCCGU